RNAcentral lists this ribosomal RNA (377 nucleotides) under uncultured eukaryote. Its description in RNAcentral is "partial 18S ribosomal RNA". It matches the Rfam family "Eukaryotic small subunit ribosomal RNA", at positions 592 to 976 of the family's 1831-position model. The record is from RNAcentral.
CAAUAGCGUAUAUUUAAGUUGCUGCAGUUAAAAAGCUCGUAGUUGGAUUUCGGGUGGGAAUGGCCGGUCCGCCGUUUCGGUGUGCACUUGCUACGCCCACCUUGCUGCCGGGGACGUGCUCUUGAGUUCACGCUCGGGACACGGAGUCGGCGAGGUUACUUUGAGUAAAUUAGAGUGUUCAAAGCAGGCCUACGCUCUGAAUACAUUAGCAUGGAAUAACACGAUAGGACUCUGGCCUAUCUUGUUGGUCUGUAGGACCGGAGUAAUGAUUAAGAGGGACAGUCGGGGGCAUUCGUAUUUCAUUGUCAGAGGUGAAAUUCUUGGAUUUAUGAAAGACGAACUACUGCGAAAGCAUUUGCCAAGGAUGUUUNCAUUAA